UUGAACGCUGGCGGCAGGCCUAACACAUGCAAGUCGCGCGGAUGAAGGGAGCUUGCUCCUGGAUUCAGCGGCGGACGGGUGAGUAAUGCCUAGGAAUCUGCCUGGUAGUGGGGGAUAACGUCCGGAAACGGGCGCUAAUACCGCAUACGUCCUGAGGGAGAAAGUGGGGGAUCUUCGGACCUCACGCUAUCAGAUGAGCCUAGGUCGGAUUAGCUAGUUGGUGGGGUAAGGGCCUACCAAGGCGACGAUCCGUAACUGGUCUGAGAGGAUGAUCAGUCACACUGGAACUGAGACACGGUCCAGACUCCUACGGGAGGCAGCAGUGGGGAAUAUUGGACAAUGGGCGAAAGCCUGAUCCAGCCAUGCCGCGUGUGUGAAGAAGGUCUUCGGAUUGUAAAGCACUUUAAGUUGGGAGGAAGGGCAGUAAGUUAAUACCUUGCUGUUUUGACGUUACCAACAGAAUAAGCACCGGCUAACUUCGUG
Molecule: ribosomal RNA, 483 nt
Filed under: uncultured bacterium
Lineage: Bacteria
Description: partial 16S ribosomal RNA
Rfam family: Bacterial small subunit ribosomal RNA
Source: RNAcentral